GGAAUUUUAGUAUUUUUAUUUGGAAUUAUUUGGAAAAUGAUGAAAUAUUGACAUUUGGGCCUAGAGUGGUGAUUAGCAGAAGAGGGGGUGUUGACUAAGCAAGCCCAUUAUAAUAAUUAUUUUAUUUUUCAUAAAAUAAGGAAUUUGGGGAAAAGAGGAAGGAGAAGCAGGAACUGAGUCUGAAGAAAGGAGAACACGUGAAAGUGAGAAGAGCCAAAGGGGAAGAGAACUUCGAAGAUUCGACUCUGAGGUAAGGGGGGAUUCUUCGGGUUAGUAUUCCUUAUGUGAUUGUAGGUAGUAUGAUUGAUUAGGAUUGUUGUCUAGUUCAAUCGUACGUGUCGGGUUUGGGAAUUUUGUUAGGUUUUGAUAAUCUUGUAUGAAUUGGCAUGAUUUUGUUGAUACUUGUGAUAUAUGAUGUUAAUACAUGUCAAUAACUUGUUUGAAAUGUGUAAUUGUGUGAAAAACAAUGAUAAUUGUGUGUAUGUUCGUAUGUACCUGAAAUUGGGGUAUUGGGAUAUGGUAAAUGCUGUCAAAAUGGUGAUUUUUGCUGUGCAGGUACGUAGGAACCGGUUCCCAUGUGGGACGAACCGGUUCCCCCUUGUAAAAACAGAGAAAUAUGGGUUCUGGGUAGCUGGGAACCGGUUCCCAUGUAGGGACAACCCGGUUCCCCAUAGUAAAAAUCAGAGACGUGACUUUGAAGCUGCCAGGAACCGGUUCCCACGUAGGGACAACCCCGUUCCUGCAGCACUUUUUCUAAAAAUGUUUUAUCUUUGAAAACUCAUAACUUUUGAUCCGAGUAUCCGAUUUAUGUGCCGUUUUGGGCGUUGUGAAGCUAGUGAGAUGCUUUAUCUGAUGAAUUGAUAAAAUGGGCAAUAGCCAACUUUACUUUUUAAACUCGAUUUAAUUAUUAAUGAAUUGAAAGAUAGUAUAUGUAUAUGUGCUUAUAUAUAUGACUAUUGAUGCAUGUUCUGUAUUGGUGAUGAGAUUGUGAUAUUUAUUGGGUGAUGUUGGUUUAUAACAUGUCGUAAAUGAAUACAUAUUUUGUGAUUAUGUUGUUGGGUUGUUUUGAUAAUUGGUUACAUUGUGUGCAAUGAUGUUAGAUGUAACGAUGUAUGAACGUGGUGAUGAUUGAUGAAUUAUGAAUGUUAAUAUACUGUUAAUAUUAACAUGUGAACUGUGGUGAAUGUAUGUGUGAUAUGUUUGUAUGAAUGCUAAGAAUAUAUACAUGCUUAUUGGUGAUGAUUUGGUGAUGAUAAUGAGACGAUGUGUUACAUCGGAUUGGUGAUGUUGUAAGCAUGUUAUAUGUUGCAUUCAUUGGCAUACAUUUUUGGUGAUGGAUCCCGGUGAUGAAAGUGGAUCAAAACGGUGGGCAUGAUUCCCAGUGUGUGGAAUCGGUGCUGGAUAUUUUGGUGGGCAUGAUUCCCAGUGUGUGGAAUCGGUGCUGGAUAUUUUGGUGAGCAUGAUUCCCAGUGUGUGGAAUCGGUGCUGGAUAUUUGGUGAGCAUGAUUCUCUGUGUGUGGAAUCGGUGCUGGUUAAACUGUAUCUCAGUGAUGAGGAUAUCAGUUGGAUGGGUAUAUCCCAUGUAUGGUACCACAUGCAUAGUGUCAGUUUAAUCAUAUGCAUUGGUUAUAACAUGAUUGGAUGGAAUUCAGUGUUAUGCCUUGGUGUGUUUAUAUGAUUGAUGUAUUAAGAAUAUGUUGUUAAUAUAACUUGAUCAUUAGUAUAAUUGAUGAGUUGUGGGCCGAUGGCCAAUAUUGUUGGAUUGAUGUUUACUUGUUGUAAUAAUUCUGAUUAUAUGUAUGAUUGAGUGGAUGAUAAUUACUAUGAGAUUUUAUUGCUUAUGAUUGCAUAAUGCUUAUUAAUUCGAAUGAAACUCACCCUUACUUUGAUGAUUUCAGAUUAAGGAUGUAGCGGCGUCUUGAUUGGGUGAAGAUAGCUUAUAGGCUAGCCCUUAGUCCGUGUCGAGUCAUGCUCUGAAUGUAACACUGGGGAACGCUAGUUUAGAGACGAGUUAUUAUGUCGGUCUUUGUUGUUUAUAAUUGUAUUAGAGAACUUGCAUGAAUGAUGAUGAUUAUGCAAUGUUAUGAAUUAUAAUCCGCUGUGUUGAACAUGAAUUGUAUUUAUGUUAAAUGGUUCCUCGUGUGGCAUGACAAAUGACUAUAGUAUUUUAUGUUAAAGAAGUUGUGACAUCCUUGUAUUUCAUGUUUACUCUGAAUUUUUAUUAUAUUUUCCGUGGGGGUUUUAGAAGGGUGUUACAAUAGUGGUAUCAGAGCAUUGUCGGUCCUUGCGACCAGAGUCUUGUUGUUAAUUUCCUUUCGGUAUGCGACAUGUGUGUGAAACACUGUCGGUACUCAGUGUGUUCUAAAUGUUUGCUUGCAGAAGUGGGAUUGAAACUAGUGGGGGAGAAGUCAUGCUUCUCGGAUAUGUCUCAGAUGCAAGAUGUUAGAGAGAUGCGUGGGGCAGUAGUACAAGAGUGUGGAGUUAUUGCUUUCUGAAGCGAAGGUGACAUGGACUGAAGACCGUGGUUGUUGUUCAGUCGGAGUGUCUCGGAGUAGAUGAUGGUUAUUUCUGAGAAAUGGAAUUUGGAAGUUGUGAUGCCUCAAGUGCUACUGACGUACUGCGAUGUUGUUGUAUGAGUAGCCCUAUGUAAAAGGUUGUUGUUGAAGCAGUGAUUAAAAGAAGUAUUGUCGUAGACCUUGUCGUAGGAUUACUAGUAAGUAAUUGAGAUGAUGGGAGAGGUUAUCGAUGUUGUUGAGAAAGUUUCGAAGUGCGAGUAAUGCAAAGAGACGAAUAUGAUCUCAAGGAUAAGAAGGUUGAUGAUGGCGUACACGAAUUUGGUUUCAGGAUGUUGCAGAAAUCGAACUUCAGCGAUGAAAUGUGUUGUUUAAGUUAUAAGAAGUUUGGAAGCGAAGAGAUGUGAUAAGAUGAUGUUAAUAAUGAGAUUAAUUUGAAGAGGAUGAGUUCUGGAGCAGAAUUUUCGUAAGCAAAUCGCAGGAAGAUUGCUGAAUCGUUAUGAAACUUCGAAAAUUCAUAACUGGAGUUCUGGACAUCCGAUUUGAGUUCCGUUUGAAGCGUCGGAAAGCUAACGAGAUGAACCUUGUUAUAAAAAUGGUUGCAGCAGCUGUAACAUAUUUAAUUGUGUUAGGAUGAUGUUAGAAAGAGGUGAAGUUACGGUUACACUUGUCCUUAGAACUAGAUUGUUCGUUGGUGCGGCAUGGGAUGUCAGUGUCAGAGUUAAACAGAAUAAAGGAAUAAUGAGGAGGCUUGUUGAGAAGCAAUCUUAGAGAUUAAAUGUGCCAAUUGAGAAGUUUUGGAGAUGUCGUAUAGAGUUUCGUUGCAUGGUAUCGGUAUUGUAUCUUGGGUAACGGUUGGAAACAUUCAUAUCUUGAACUUUGAGUAUCGGAUUAGGGUGUCGUUUGAGACUACGAAGAGGUGAGAUUAUGUUAUAACUUGUGGAAGAGUUAUAAAUACAGUAGAGUGGUCCUAUGAGGAGAUAUUAUGAUGUUGGAUAAAGAAGCCUAGACCAGUGUUGAAAUAGGAAUGCUUAUUACCGCGAUUGUUCGGAACGAAGUCGAGUAGAAUAUGUCCUUAAUAAAUAAGCGGAUAAAGAUGAUUUAAAUAUUGAUGGAUUUGAGUGAUGAAGGAAUCAGUAGAAAAAGUGAAAUAGACUUUGGAACCAUUUGUGGUAUAUUGUGAUGCGUCGUUGAUGGGUUUGGAUGGUGUAUUGAUGUAAAACCAGUAAGUAGUAACUUAUGCGUCGAGACGAUUGAAAGCGCAGGAAAGGAAUUAUCUGACUCAUGAUUUAGAAUUGGCAGCCAUGGUUUGUUUGAAGUUGCAGUAACAUUAUUGGUAUGGUUCGAGGUUGCCUCUAAAAAUGUCGAUGCUGAUGGUGAAAGAGUUGGAUUUAAUUGAACAAUUCAGAGAAUUAAGUUUGGUAUGUGAAAGUGCUCCUAAUAAUGUUAGAUUGGGUAUACUGAAACUGACUAAUGGUAUUCCUGACGAGAAUAGAGAAAGUCAGAAAGCUGAUGUUGAGUUGAUCGAUAAGUCGACCUUGGAUUACAAAGGUAAAGACGGCGAAUUCAGAAUUAACGAGGAUGGUGUAAUGAGGUCUAGAAGUCGCGUUUGCGUUCAAGAUGCUACCGGGUUGAGAAUUCUAGAAGAAGGACACCGUAGAGAAUUAGACAAUGUUAAUGAGUUGAGUAUAAACUCAGGAAGGACACUAUUAUGUAGUAACAACGGUUUAUGCUUAAACAUGAUUGUCGGCUAUCUAUUGACAAAUUGAGGACUUGAUCACCCUUAAUCUCUUGUUGAUAGUAGGCGGAGUCAUAUAGAUAGUAUGAGAUUGCUUGUUACCUUAAUGGUAUAAGAUGUGGUGAAGGUUGAGAGGUGAGAAUAACCACUCACCAUAUUGUGGGAACUUAUGAGGAAGUGAAUAUGAAGGAGUGCAAAGUAUUGGACGGUGACUUAAGACGAGUAGUCGUAGUCGUACAGCGAAAGUAUGAUGUAAAGUGGUGUUAUGAGUGCUACUCGUGAGUAGUGAGAAUUAAUAUGUCGGGGUUCUACAUGGAGAAUAUGUGUUUAUCUAUAUGUUGGGUUUAGAAUCUCGUGGACGUGAGGAUGUCGUGCCAAAGGAUUAUGACCUUUUGAAUAAUUGCCGAGAUGAUGGAUAUCCUAUUAUGGUUGAAUGUAGUUAAUGAGUAUGUGUUCGAAGAAUGUUAAGACAACGAGUUGAUACUAUGUAAUGCCAUAAUAAUUUUGUACUGUUGUAAGGUGUUAUGUAAAUUUAUGAAUAUAAUGUGGAAUUAUACUCUGCGAAGGACGAAGUUAAUCUGAUUCUUAGUGGAGAGUGGGACUCAAUUGAGCUACCUUGUAAGCAAUGGUAUAUUGAGGAUAAUGAGCUAUGUAAUUAUAACUACUGAUGUGUGCUUGUUCCGAUAGUGGGAAUGUUUUUAAUAGAUGAAGUAACUCGGGAAUUUGCUUUGAGUAAGUGUAAGUAUUACUUUAUCGCUCAAUUGCAAGAGUGUGCCUAAGGUUGGUACGUGAGUAAAUGGAAUCCAUUACUACAGUGUUGAUCAGUUGCGAUCAUACCAUGGAUUAUGUAAUUGUAUUAUUCAGUUGUUGAGUGUAUUGUAUGGAUCGUACCUCGAAGUUUCAUUGUCGUUAAUCGUUGGAGUAUAGCGAGUGGUAUACCCUGGGAUGGUCAGAUGCGAAGUAAGGGCGGAGAUUGAAUGCAUGAGAUAUGCUGGUGUUGGUUAUGUCAGAUGAAUUUUGAGACUCGACUAAGAAGGUGUUAACGGAGAAUGGGAGAGAGUCAAAUGAAGUACUCUUAUCUGGGACUUUACUUGAAGUAUGUUUUCGAGGACGAAAACUCUUUUAGUGGGGGAGAGUUGUAACACCCCAUAAUUUCAGUUUAUUAAUUUAAUUUGGAUUUAAAUUAAAUAAUUGGAAUUUUAGUAUUUUUAUUUGGAAUUAUUUGGAAAAUGAUGAAAUAUUGACAUUUGGGCCUAGAGUGGUGAUUAGCAGAAGAGGGGGUGUUGACUAAGCAAGCCCAUUAUAAUAAUUAUUUUAUUUUUCAUAAAAUAAGGAAUUUGGGGAAAAGAGGAAGGAGAAGCAGGAACUGAGUCUGAAGAAAGGAGAACACGUGAAAGUGAGAAGAGCCAAAGGGGAAGAGAACUUCGAAGAUUCGACUCUGAGAUUAAGGAUGUAGCGGCGUCUUGAUUGGGUGAAGAUAGCUUAUAGGCUAGCCCUUAGUCCGUGUCGAGUCAUGCUCUGAAUGUAACACUGGGGAACGCUAGUUUAGAGACGAGUUAUUAUGUCGGUCUUUGUUGUUUAUAAUUGUAUUAGAGAACUUGCAUGAAUGAUGAUGAUUAUGCAAUGUUAUGAAUUAUAAUCCGCUGUGUUGAACAUGAAUUGUAUUUAUGUUAAAUGGUUCCUCGUGUGGCAUGACAAAUGACUAUAGUAUUUUAUGUUAAAGAAGUUGUGA
Long non-coding RNA from Vicia villosa (hairy vetch), 5983 nucleotides. RefSeq lists it as uncharacterized. NCBI's taxonomy places the organism in Eukaryota, Viridiplantae, Streptophyta, Magnoliopsida, Fabales, Fabaceae. The record is from RefSeq and is a predicted model, not a curated record. The transcript is spliced from 2 exons.